CAGCAGCCGCGGGAAUACGAAGGGGGCUAGCGUUGUUCGGAAUUACUGGGCGUAAAGCGCACGUAGGCGGAUUGCUAAGUCGGGGGUGAAAUCCUGAGGCUCAACCUCAGAACUGCCUUCGAUACUGGCGAUCUUGAGUUCGGAAGAGGUUGGUGGAACAGCUAGUGUAGAGGUGAAAUUCGUAGAUAUUAGCUAGAACACCAGUGGCGAAGGCGGCCAACUGGUCCGACACUGACGCUGAGGUGCGAAAGCGUGGGGAGCAAACAGGAUUAGAUACCCGCGUAGUCCCUGUCUCUUAUAC
Molecule: ribosomal RNA, 301 nt
Filed under: uncultured bacterium
Lineage: Bacteria
Description: partial 16S ribosomal RNA
Rfam family: Bacterial small subunit ribosomal RNA
Source: RNAcentral